GAGCGAGACCGGAAGCUGCGGAGACCCGGGAAGACCGCCACGCCCUCCCACAAGAGGGCGUCUGCGUCACACCAGCUGUGAGGUCCUGGGCAAGUCAUAAAGCUCUUUGUGCCUCAGUUUCCAUAUCUGAAAAAUGAGGAUAAUAAUAGUGUCUACUUUAUUUGACUGGCCUGGGGAUUUAAGGAGGUAAUACCGGAAAGUGUUUAAAGCAAUUUCUAGCACAAAGGAAACACAGCAAUUGUGAGCAAUUCUUAUGUCUUUGGCCGUGACUGGUGGACUCCGGGCCUCAGCCCCAGUGGCAAAUGUCGUGCUGCCCUGUUGUGCUGUUCUUUAAUAUUGUGCCUGGCUGGUGCUGGGUGCAGCGGAUCCUGGGUGCCUGCUUCUUGCAGAACCUGGAGAGAACAGCGAGGACUGGACUUACCGGCUGACCCAGCAAAUUGGGACCGUGCACGUGAAUCCAAGUGGGAAUGUGUGGAAGUUCUUUGUGUUUGACUGUGAGCAUCCGUAUGUGUUCUCCUUGGAGGUUCACCCACCAGAAAACUGGGAUCAGCAGGAAGAACUUGCACACGCGCCUGGAGGAAUCCAGAACCACUGUUACUCUUGGAGUCGCAUCUCUGAUGUCUUCGGCGAUUUCCAAGAAGGAGACAACUCCUCAGUGAGAGUUCCUGGCUGGGAGGGCGGCUGGCAGUGCGAUGCCAGUAAGGGCCGGGCUGGCAGCGUGUGUGAAAUUCUGGUGCUAGGGAGCUGCCGGGAUUUGUGCUCCUACAUCAUUAAGACCAAAGGAGCUGAAGAAGAAAAGAGAGAUGGUCUUCAUUAAAGAUGAUCACAGUCAUCACACCUCACUGUCACCACGGACAAUCUGCAGGAGGAUGAUGCUGACAUACACUGGUGUGCCGUAGAAAAAUGCUUGAGGGAACUGGGGGGCCCAGUGGAAAUCAUGGUGGCUUCAGGCUUCUUUCUCCAGUGUCCAUGGACCUCUGGAGUCCACCUGGAGUUGUCCUGCUUCCUGGUUCAUCGGACAUGACUGGGCGCGUCUGAAUGCCAGCUCCGGACAGUCUGAGCUGGGACACCUGAUACGUUUGUAUGAAGUGGUGGUCUGGUGACUAAUGUCAAGAUGACCUAUUUCUGCGGGGCAACUAGUGUCUCAAACUAGUUCUGGAGGUCUGCUUGGAGGUCCUUAUGUCUUCUCACAUGGUUUUGGAAGGUAAUUAUCAGCCGAAUGCUGAGCCCUGCCUCUGGUUGCCAGGUAGACGGACAUUCAUCCAUCCAUCCACUCAUUGAUUCAUCUGUUCACACAGCACACAUUUACUGAGCAGCUAUUAUGAGCCAGUCACUGUACUAAGUGCUGGGAAUAUUAAGGUGAAUUCUGGAGGGGUUUCUAGUCUUAUUGGAGAGGGGAACAUAACCUCACCCCCGUUUCUGGUUGGGUUCAGUGAACGGGCAGUAGGGGGUAGGAGGGCAGGAAGAAAGAAAGCUGCCUCCCUGCCGGGUUGGGAGUGUCUGCACCUCCCCACCAAGGGCCUCAGCCCCUGCCAGGUAUUCCUUUCCCUCAGCCCCUGCUGGUGGUCUUCCCCUUCAGCCCUCCUGGGUAGUCUUUCCCUCAGCCCUGAUGGAUGGUCGCUCCCUCAACUGCUGCUGGCUGGUCUCUCUUAAGGCUCAUGUCAGGUUCUGGUUAUUGCCCCCCUCCAUCCCUUA
Equus asinus (donkey) is the source of this 1695-nucleotide long non-coding RNA. The record is from Ensembl. Lineage: Eukaryota; Metazoa; Chordata; Mammalia; Perissodactyla; Equidae.